Molecule: long non-coding RNA, 1000 nt
Organism: Ananas comosus (pineapple)
Lineage: Eukaryota; Viridiplantae; Streptophyta; Magnoliopsida; Poales; Bromeliaceae
Exons: 7
Source: RefSeq, a predicted model, not a curated record
UUGCCUCGCCUAUAAAAGGGCCCGAGAUCAGCGUAUCUCGCAUUCUAAUUUCCACCUCUCCACUCGAAUUUCCAGUUCUCCCGCCACAUCGCCUGCUGAGUAAUUGUCCGCUCGAGUCCGGCGAAUUUCGCCUCCGCGGAGAUCACCACGAGGGUUCCAUGGCGAUGUCGUAAUGCCUAAUUGUGGUUUUCUUGGAGGUAUUUUCAUUAAUUCUGCGAGUUCGACAGGAGGCUGUUGGAGAGUUCUGUUCCUUGAACCAUUGCAAGUACAAUUCAUAAUGUGUUAGAUGGUUUCAUUGCAAGUGGUUCACCUUGUCUCAUUUUCAAUAUGUCAACGAAGUGUGAUUUUUGGUGAAGUCUGGUACUCCAAGUUCCAAGAGAAUUGAAUCAGACUGAAAUUUGACAGUCAAACAUAUAUCCGGGUGGCCUCUGAUGCUCUGAACCUUUUUGGGGAAGUCCAACUGGAGCUCUCCUGCAGAGCGAGGUCACCUAAAGGUAUUUCUGAGGUGACAGGGGGUCAUAUUUCUCCUGAGGAUGGCGACCCUCAACUCAUAGAGGGAGGAUGAUUGAUUUGGAGACCUUUUACGCCUUCUAUGCGCCUCCUCUAAGGGAUCUAGUACUUGGAUGAAUGGAAGCAAUGGUAAGUAUCACGCCUCGUCUAAGGGGUCUGGUACUUGGAUGAAUGGAAGCAAUAGUAAGGGACACAUCACCGCCCAUGAACAACACCCAUUUGCUAACAUGGCAGUGUGGUUUUCGGCAACGUCUAGUACUCCAAGUUCCAAGGGGUUUGAAUCAGGCUCAAAUUUGACAGCGUAACAUUUACUCCAGUUGGCAUCUGAUGCUCUGAAUCCUCCCCGCUUUGGAUUCUGGGACAACACAAAAGAUAUAGCCAGAACAUCAAAAGCUAGUCGCUUUUCUUAGAUGCCUAAGGAGCAAAGGAUCUUUGGAGCUAAAAGCUGCUCCUCAAGAUGAAGACUAAAAGAUCUUCGUCAAGCUAUUGU